This 876-nucleotide ribosomal RNA is filed under the name Citricoccus sp. RNAcentral's name for it is "bacterial SSU rRNA". It matches the Rfam family "Bacterial small subunit ribosomal RNA", at positions 78 to 963 of the family's 1533-position model. Lineage: Bacteria; Bacillati; Actinomycetota; Actinomycetes; Micrococcales; Micrococcaceae. The record is from RNAcentral.
GCUUGCUGGGGUGGAUGAGUGGCGAACGGGUGAGUAACACGUGAGUAACCUUCCCUUGACUCUGGGAUAAGCCCGGGAAACUGGGUCUAAUACCGGAUACGACCUCCUAUCGCAUGGUGGGGGGUGGAAAGAUUUAUCGGUUUUGGAUGGACUCGCGGCCUAUCAGCUUGUUGGUGAGGUAAUGGCUCACCAAGGCGACGACGGGUAGCCGGCCUGAGAGGGUGACCGGCCACACUGGGACUGAGACACGGCCCAGACUCCUACGGGAGGCAGCAGUGGGGAAUAUUGCACAAUGGGCGCAAGCCUGAUGCAGCGACGCCGCGUGAGGGAUGACGGCCUUCGGGUUGUAAACCUCUUUCAGUAGGGAAGAAGCUUUCGGGUGACGGUACCUGCAGAAGAAGCGCCGGCUAACUACGUGCCAGCAGCCGCGGUAAUACGUAGGGCGCGAGCGUUAUCCGGAAUUAUUGGGCGUAAAGAGCUCGUAGGCGGUUUGUCGCGUCUGCCGUGAAAGUCCGGGGCUUAACCCCGGAUCUGCGGUGGGUACGGGCAGACUAGAGUGCAGUAGGGGAGACCGGAAUUCCUGGUGUAGCGGUGAAAUGCGCAGAUAUCAGGAGGAACACCGAUGGCGAAGGCAGGUCUCUGGGCUGUUACUGACGCUGAGGAGCGAAAGCAUGGGGAGCGAACAGGAUUAGAUACCCUGGUAGUCCAUGCCGUAAACGUUGGGCACUAGGUGUGGGGGACAUUCCACGUUUUCCGCGCCGCAGCUAACGCAUUAAGUGCCCCGCCUGGGGAGUACGGCCGCAAGGCUAAAACUCAAAGGAAUUGACGGGGGCCCGCACAAGCGGCGGAGCAUGCGGAUUAAUUCGAUGCAACGCG